RNAcentral lists this transfer RNA (67 nucleotides) under Anopheles kompi. RNAcentral's name for it is "tRNA-Gly". The record is from RNAcentral. Lineage: Eukaryota; Metazoa; Arthropoda; Insecta; Diptera; Culicidae.
AUUUAUAAAGUAUAUAUUUGUAUGUAUGACUUCCAAUCAUAAGGACUAAAAAUUUUUAGUAUAAAUA